Molecule: long non-coding RNA, 431 nt
Filed under: Homo sapiens (human)
Lineage: Eukaryota; Metazoa; Chordata; Mammalia; Primates; Hominidae
Description: non-protein coding lnc-PTPN7-1:1
Source: RNAcentral
GGGACAUUGGGGGACAGCCGCGUUUCCGCAGCAUGUGGGAGCGCUACUGCCGAGGAGUGAGCGCCAUCGUGUACAUGGUGGAUGCUGCUGACCAGGAGAAGAUUGAGGCCUCUAAGAACGAGCUCCACAACCUACUGGACAAACCUCAGCUGCAGGGCAUCCCGGUCAGCAGACCUGAGGGAGCGGGAUGGGGAGGGAGCUCGGCUGGGAAGUCACUGGGAGCAGGUAAAAGCCAGGCAUGGUAGGGGCGCAGAGAGGAAACGGGACCCAGGAGGCCAGCUCACCACCCAGACAACCUGGGCACGGCUGCCCUAGACCUCAUCCUCACCCUCCCUUCUCCGUAGGUCUUAGUCCUGGGUAACAAGCGAGACCUUCCGGGAGCAUUGGAUGAGAAGGAGCUGAUUGAGAAAAUGAAUCUGUCUGCCAUCCAG